Molecule: ribosomal RNA, 460 nt
Filed under: uncultured bacterium
Lineage: Bacteria
Description: partial 16S ribosomal RNA
Rfam family: Bacterial small subunit ribosomal RNA
Source: RNAcentral
CCUACGGGAGGCAGCAGUGAGGAAUAUUGGUCAAUGGACGAGAGUCUGAACCAGCCAAGUAGCGUGAAGGAUGACUGCCCUAUGGGUUGUAAACUUCUUUUAUAUGGGAAUAAAAUGUUCCACGUGUGGGAUUUUGUAUGUACCAUAUGAAUAAGGAUCGGCUAACUCCGUGCCAGCAGCCGCGGUAAUACGGAGGAUCCGAGCGUUAUCCGGAUUUAUUGGGUGUAAAGGGAGCGUAGGUGGAUUGUUAAGUCAGUUGUGAAAGUUUGCGGCUCAACCGUAAAAUUGCAGUUGAAACUGGCAGUCUUGAGUACAGUAGAGGUGGGCGGAAUUCGUGGUGUAGCGGUGAAAUGCUUAGAUAUCACGAAGAACUCCGAUUGCGAAGGCAGUUCACUGGACUGCAGCUGACACUGAGGCUCGAAAGUGUGGGUAUCAAACAGGAUUAGAUACCCCUGUAGUC